This 299-nucleotide unclassified non-coding RNA is filed under the name uncultured bacterium. RNAcentral's name for it is "partial contains 16S ribosomal RNA and 16S-23S ribosomal RNA intergenic spacer region". It matches the Rfam family "Bacterial small subunit ribosomal RNA", at positions 69 to 358 of the family's 1533-position model. The record is from RNAcentral.
AAUCUUUGGGAGCUUGCUCCCAAAAGUUAGCGGCGGACGGGUGAGUAACACGUGGGCAACCUGCCUAUAAGACUGGGAUAACUUCGGGAAACCGGAGCUAAUACCAGAUAAUUCUUUUCUACUCAUGUAGGAAAGCUGAAAGACGGUUUACGCUGUCACUUAUAGAUGGGCCCGCGGCGCAUUAGCUAGUUGGUGAGGUAACGGCUCACCAAGGCGACGAUGCGUAGCCGACCUGAGAGGGUGAUCGGCCACACUGGGACUGAGACACGGCCCAGACUCCUACGGGAGGCAGCAGUGGG